Molecule: long non-coding RNA, 1890 nt
Filed under: Musa acuminata (dwarf banana)
Lineage: Eukaryota; Viridiplantae; Streptophyta; Magnoliopsida; Zingiberales; Musaceae
Description: long non-coding RNA (MACU_LNC005635)
Source: RNAcentral
GGGGAAGAAGAGAACCCUUUUGACAGAGUUGUUGUCAUGGCAACAAAAGCUUCUCUCUGCAUAAAAGGCUUUGCCUUGCUGGUUUCAGUCCUUGUAGCAGUUCCAACAAGUUCUCUCUCUCUCUCUCUCUCUCUCUCUCUCUCUCUCUCUCUCUCAUAUUAUAUAUUUGAUUGUUAACUCUUACAAAUUUAUUAGGGUUUUUAUAAGAGUUCAAGCUUUUGGUAAUUUAAUCAUGGUAGGUUAUAUUUUCAAAACUUGUAACCUGCAUUUUGCUCUCUUUAUUUCAUGCAAUAUUCUUUUCCUUGAUUGGCUUACGUCAUCUACUUGAGUUAGCUCAUAUGUAACUGUUUAAAUAUUUGGGAUUAUUGGUUAACGGAUAAAAAAAAUUAAUUGAUUUUAGAAACAAUGCUAUAUAUAUAUAUAUAUAUAUAUUAUAGGUAGAAACUUGGUAUAAUUCACACGUAUGUUCGCUUUAUCUGAAUAAAAUGAGUAGUCCUUUCAAUGCAGAUUAGUCUUACUCCACUUGCAGAUGCACGACCAAUUUGCUUGAUCAUCUUCCAUAGAGCACCACAGCUAAGUCUCCGAUGUGUUCUACUGCAGGAGUGCAAUCGAUUGGUGUCUGCUACGGCAUGCUCGGCAACAAUCUUCCCCCGCCCAGCGAGGUGGUCAGUCUCUACAAAUCCAACAACAUCGCGAGGAUGAGACUCUACGAUCCAAACCAAGCCGCCCUGCAAGCCCUCAGGAACUCCAACAUCCAAGUCCUGUUGGAUGUCCCCCGAUCCGACGUGCAGUCACUGGCCUCCAAUCCUUCGGCCGCCGGCGACUGGAUCCGGAGGAACGUCGUCGCCUACUGGCCCAGCGUCUCCUUUCGAUACAUAGCUGUCGGAAACGAGCUGAUCCCCGGAUCGGAUCUGGCGCAGUACAUCCUCCCCGCCAUGCGCAACAUCUACAAUGCUUUGUCCUCGGCUGGCCUGCAAAACCAGAUCAAGGUCUCGACCGCGGUCGACACGGGCGUCCUCGGCACGUCCUACCCUCCCUCCGCCGGCGCCUUCUCCUCCGCCGCCCAGGCGUACCUGAGCCCCAUCGUGCAGUUCUUGGCGAGUAACGGAGCGCCGCUCCUGGUCAAUGUGUACCCUUAUUUUAGCUACACCGGCAACCCGGGACAGAUCUCGCUGCCCUACGCCCUGUUCACGGCCUCCGGCGUCGUCGUGCAGGAUGGGCGAUUCAGCUAUCAGAACCUGUUCGACGCCAUCGUCGACGCGGUCUUCGCGGCGCUGGAGAGAGUGGGAGGGGCGAACGUGGCGGUGGUGGUGUCGGAGAGCGGGUGGCCGUCGGCGGGCGGAGGAGCCGAAGCGAGCACCAGCAACGCGCGGACGUACAACCAGAACUUGAUCAGGCAUGUUGGCGGAGGAACGCCGAGGAGACCAGGGAAGGAGAUCGAGGCGUACAUAUUCGAGAUGUUCAACGAGAACCAGAAGGCUGGAGGGAUCGAGCAGAACUUUGGCCUGUUUUAUCCCAACAAGCAGCCCGUCUACCAAAUAAGCUUCUAGAAACUAACUUGUAAGGUUGAUGAAUCAUCUCCUACCUACCUACCUACCUACGAAUAAAACAUGAAAUGAAGCACCAGAAUAAAGGGAGAAUUCUGAUCAUGGAGAAAGUUGAAUCAUGAUGAUAUACAACAAACACCCCUCUUUACUCAUUAUCAGUAUGUUACAAGUUUCUGGAAACUUGAACGGAUCACAAUUUGGACCUACAAGGAUUUUGGGUCAUAAUUAUUUCAUUGAACUAUAUAUUCAAAAAAAGAUGUGUUUGGAGUGCUUAAUACAGUAUGACUUCAGUUUGCAAGAUUACCUCUUCAGCGUCAGCUUCAGCAUGCCAAAAAACCAUCAU